RNAcentral lists this long non-coding RNA (719 nucleotides) under Parus major (Great Tit). Its description in RNAcentral is "lncRNA (ENSPMJG00000009462.1)". Lineage: Eukaryota; Metazoa; Chordata; Aves; Passeriformes; Paridae. The record is from RNAcentral.
GUAGAAAGGAAAACUGUUUGUUGUCUAGUCUAUUUCAGCCUCAUUCAGAUCAAGAUGAUGGAUCUAUUCCUUAUUAUUAUUUUUUGGGUUUUACCAUUUAACAUUAUUUCUUCAUCCAGCUGUCUCAAGGGUUUCUAAAAAUUCAGCUCUAGACUGCAGAUGAGGGCAAGGACUUCAUAGAAGUGAAAUUCUAUUACACAAAUGACUUAUCCAAAACUUUUCAGAGUCUAAUUGUGAAAGGCUUUCAUGAAGAAGUUUGUAAGAAUAAUUGUGUUAUCUCUGAAAAGCUGAGCAUCUUGCACACACUGUUGAUGUUAAGGGUCCUGCAUGGCAGAAGCAGCAUGGCAGAACAUUUUAUACAGAAAUACAGACCAGCUAUCUUCAAGUGCUGCGUGUCAAGCCAGUCCUUCAGUUCACUUGCUUCAUGAUUUCUCAGCCCUGCAUUACUCUGUCAUCAAAAGAGUUUUUCUGUCAGCACAUGAGCUUUUCUCUAUGUGUCAGUGACAAACAUGUUGGCUCCAUUUCCACUGCAGAAGAACCACACUUCAAUGCACAGGUUUUUGUACAACUGGACUUCUCAGACAGAUUUCUGUUGCUACAUUUAUGUAGCAAAGGCAUCUUUGUGGGAGAUUUAGGUCAAAAUCCCAAAAUUAAAGGUAAAUAUUAUAUGCACAAAUGCAUACCUAAUAUGCAAAACUGAUAAGCACAUAACACUUCAG